UGCUAAGACUGUCAGUGUUUGGUGAAUUUUAUUUCAAACACUGGCAGUCUUGAUGG
This 56-nucleotide microRNA precursor is filed under the name Parasteatoda tepidariorum (common house spider). RNAcentral's name for it is "microRNA pte-mir-11942b precursor". Lineage: Eukaryota; Metazoa; Arthropoda; Arachnida; Araneae; Theridiidae. The record is from miRBase by way of RNAcentral.